CUUCUAUUAUUGAGAUUUAUCUACCAAAAAGUUUGUUCCUAUCUUUCUCCUCUCUUGGUAUAUCAAUAAGAUGAGAACUCUUCUGCUAUUCCAAGUCGUUGAUGGGUUCAGAUUUCAUAGAAGAAAGCCUGUUCUAUACUACUAGAAGAAGAAGAUCUGUCGGCGCGUGAUUUAUCUUAAUGCUAUCGCUGAGAUUGGCGUAUACAAGUGUGAGCUAGAGGAUUUGCCUGCGAGGAAUGUUUCCAUGGAACAAGUGAUGGCAUUGAGGAGUGCUCUUCGUGAUGAAUUUCAAGCAAAUACAAGACCAGUUCAGGGCUUACGUAGAAGACCAGUAUGUAGCUAUGUAAGAAAGACCAAAACUUGAUGAAUUAUUAAGCUUCAAAUUAAAUAAUGGCUUGUGAAUUUACCAUGAGAAUCACUAUGAUGCCACAACUUAUUUUGAGGGCUUUUUUGUUCUUAAGUUGCAGCAUCUCAUGGUUCAAUUUCUGUACGUAUACUGAGAAGAAGAUGGGAGAGUUAAGAGGGUAUUUACAUCAUUAGUGUUGGCAUGUGAUGUUGUGUCUACAUGAGGGGUUGUAUUAGGAAGUGAUUUUAUUGUUUUCUGUAUAAGAAAGUGAAUCUAGAUAGCAGUAGUUGUUAAUCCCUUUUCUUUUGUUGCGAUAUCUAUCAGAAUUGUUGAAUUCUUUGCUAAUUUGACUAAUUAAUUUCUCUAAGUUA
Molecule: long non-coding RNA, 717 nt
Organism: Capsicum annuum
Lineage: Eukaryota; Viridiplantae; Streptophyta; Magnoliopsida; Solanales; Solanaceae
Exons: 4
Source: RefSeq, a predicted model, not a curated record